AAACACGGCUGAGCCGAACCGCGAACUGCGCGCUGGCCAUAUAGUUACACCGACGGUCCGUCUCUCGUAGCUGUCAGUCAGCCAGUCAACGAUUCUGUGGAAGGAUCUUCGGUAGCAUCGAGAACGCCCAGUGACCAUGCAUAUCGACCAAUUGACUUCGAGGAGCGGUCUCUUGACCAUCCUUCAAAUCCUCUUGGGAGUCGUCGUGUUCUCCCUGGCCUAUAACUUUGCCGGAGACCCCAUGAGAUGGCUGCAGUACACGGCGUUCCUGUUCUUCGCGAACGGUAUACUCAUCCUCCUUUCCCUUCUGCUGUCUGGAAGUGGAACUGAGGGAACUUUCUACUUCAAGGUGUACCACUUCGUGGCUCUCGUCCUUUUCAUCGGUGUGCCCGUCUGGUCCAUCAUCAAUACCUCAGGCUCGAAAGAAACCAAAUACUGGGCCACUGUUGGUCUUGCUUUCCUGGAUGCCUUCGUGCACGGCACUCAUGGCGUCUUCAACAUUCGUGCUUGAACAAUCGGAACCACGCCAGUAUGAAACCAGACUGCCUUGUUAGAGAGUCACCAUUUCCUGCGAAAAAUGUGUACUGUAAAACGAUGUGUCCAUCUCCCGUCUACUCGGAGGGCCAUCCCGAGAUCGAAUAAAUUGGCGGUAAUAAAGACAA
Molecule: long non-coding RNA, 662 nt
Organism: Galendromus occidentalis (western predatory mite)
Lineage: Eukaryota; Metazoa; Arthropoda; Arachnida; Mesostigmata; Phytoseiidae
Exons: 4
Source: RefSeq, a predicted model, not a curated record